Molecule: long non-coding RNA, 329 nt
Organism: Cercocebus atys (sooty mangabey)
Lineage: Eukaryota; Metazoa; Chordata; Mammalia; Primates; Cercopithecidae
Exons: 3
Source: RefSeq, a predicted model, not a curated record
AGUCAGCUCCCACCAGGCCUCUACUCCAACACUGAGAAUCACAGCUGAGAAUUGAGUGGGGACUUGGAGCCGAACAAUAUCAACAUCUAUGCUGGGAAUGAGAAAGUUGGCUUUUCCUAACACUUGACCCAUCCUGAAGGAGAGACCUUGGGAGAACACUUCUGAUGCCAAAUGUGUGUGGAGGUUUGCCCUCAACGAUCAUUUCUGCAACACCAGCUAAGUGUUCUACAAUUGAACUCUGGCACUAUCUACCCAGAGUUAGUUUGGAAUUCACAGGUUAAAGGCUCAGUCCCACAAGACCGCCCCCACUUCACAUGCCAAUUGCAAUU